GUCACUUCAAGAUCAUUUUUCUGUAAUCAUUUGCUGCGCGAGGACGUUUCAACUAUACUUACACUUUAAAUGUUAAUGUAUUGUGGACACGUAAAAUAAUUCGUUAAUGAAACGUCGAGUAGGUGUGUGAUGAUAACAUAAUUUUUUGGUGCAUAAUGAAAACGAAAUUCAAUUGAAAACAAAGUUUAAUAGAAAAAAGUAAAAAUUUUAGUGGUGCCGUGUUCAACGCGUAUAAUACAAAAUCACCGAAUAUUGUUAAGGCUGUGUGCAUUGUGUAUGAACACAGUUUGAAUUGAAAUUUAAGCGCUUUUGGUUUUUCCAUAUAUGUCCUUACACAAAUAUAUGAAAGUCGAAGAAAAUACCGCCGCUCCAGAAAUGGAGCCAAGCGGUGGACAUGGACUACCGUCAACAGAUUCCAGUCAACAAUUGAUGACUGAUUCGGUGUCGCUAGACUCAAAUGGGUCAAGGCGACGAACAUCAAGACAGUAUGCCGGUUUUGGUGGCAUUUCUGCGACCGAAUGGUUCACAGUGUUAGUGUUAUGUUUCGUUAAUUUAAUUAAUUACAUGGACCGAUUUACCAUCGCUGGUGUGUUAAAUGAUAUCCAAGAAGAAUUUAAAAUUGGUGACGACGCCGGUGGUUUACUCCAAACAGCAUUCGUGCUGUCGUACAUGGUAUGCGCUCCAAUAUUCGGCUACCUUGGCGACCGUUAUUCACGAAAGUGGAUAAUGAUUUUGGGCGUUGCGUUGUGGAGCGGAACAACGAUGUUGGGCUCAAUCAUGCCCACAUAUUACCCGUUUUUGACAUUUCGUGCAUUGGUUGGAAUCGGCGAAGCGUCGUACAGCACGAUAGCACCAACACUGAUAUCCGAUUUGUUCAUCAACGAUGUUCGAUCGAAAAUGUUGGCAAUGUUUUAUUUUGCAAUACCGGUCGGCUCUGGGCUGGGAUACAUUGUCGGUUCCGAAACGGCUCAUGCGUUGGGCUCGUGGCGAUGGGCACUGAGAGUGACGCCGUUCUUGGGUGUAGCUGCAUGUGUUUUAAUUUAUCUAACCAAGGAGCCGAAUCGCGGUCAAAUCGAAGGUUCCUGUAACUUAGAAGCAACUUCAUAUAAGGAAGAUGUCAGAGAAUUAGCAAGAAAUCCGUCAUUUAUGCUGUCCACGUUUGGUUUUACAUGCGUGGCAUUCGUGACUGGAGCACUAGCCUGGUGGGGACCUUCGUUUAUGUUGCUCGGUCUGAAAAUGCAUCCAGGGAACGAGAAUAUGACGUUGAAUGAAGUAGCAUUCAUUUUCGGUGCUCUAACCAUGCUAUCCGGAAUAAUUGGUGUUCCGCUGGGUGCCUAUUUAGCCCAAAGACUACGGAAAAAACAUUCACGUGCCGAUCCCGUUAUUUGUGGAUUUGGUCUUUUGAUUAGUGCUCCAUGUAUUGUCGGAGCAAUGCUACUUGUGUCAGUAAAUGCACCAGCUGCUUAUUGUUUAAUAUUUAUCGGAGAAAUUGCGUUAAAUCUGAAUUGGGCAAUUGUCGCUGAUAUUUUAUUGUAUGUAGUCAUACCAACAAGACGUUCGACGGCCGAAGCUUUCCAGAUAUUAAUAUCGCAUACAUUCGGAGAUGCUGGCAGUCCGUAUUUGGUCGGAGUAAUAUCUGAAGCGAUAAAAGCCGCAAUGAGACGAUUACCCACAAACGCAGAAGAUGUAGCACCGAAAAUUGAAAGCCUGGCCCUGACACUGAACCAGAAUGCUACACUCACCGAAUACAAAGUAUUUGUGGACACAAAUGAGACACGGUUCAAAGCUCUGCAGUAUGCCUUAUUUUCAACGUGUUUCGUUGAAAUACUUGGCGGUGUUUUCUUUUUGUGCACAGCAGCGUAUAUAUUAAGGGACAAAGCCAAAGCGGAACGAGCAGUUGCAGGAAUGCGAGUGAAAGUUGUUUAGUCGUUCGUCAGUAUUGGCAGUACGUAGUUGUGUUUCUUGUGAUUAGAUUUGUUCUUUCUUUCGACCCGAUUUGGUAUUGUGACAAGUCUGAGAAUGUUACUCGAGAGAGUCAAAUAACAGAAACAAAUACCGAAACACAUCAAUCGCCGCCAGUGAUCGAGAACGAAUCAUCAUAAUAAUCAGUGAAAUGUCGAUGCCAUCCAUCCAUAUUUUUUUUUGUAAUUUAAUUAAAAAUUAUGAUUUAAGGAAACACACAGCAUCAUUAAUUUAUGGAAAAAGAAAAUUUGAAAUUUUGAAAAAUGAAAUUGAAAUUUUAUUCAGAGUUAAAUAGAGAACAGGAAAAAAAGACGAAUGAGGAUGAUGAAUAUAAAAUAGAAUUUAAGGAGUGAAUACCAUCUAAUACCAACUAAGGGACAACCAUUUUAUUUCAUUUUUCCGUUUUAUUUAUCAAUUGUUUUUUUUAAACAAAAUUUUGUUUUGUUUUUCCUCGAAGAGAUUGGGGAUUGCAUGGGCUUGGGGUGUGUGUAGAUAAUGUAAAAUAUUUUGUAAAAGUUGCCAUGGUAAUUAGUGGCAUGAAUGUAUAUGAUGGAUCAUAAAUCAUUAUGAAAGAAGACGAUUGCGUCGCAAACAUAAAACAACAGCAGAUGACGUAUCUGUGGGAGAUGUGAUGGAAAAUGGGGGGAUACGAAGGUGUUACAACCGCUUUAAACCAUUUUCCAUUAUAAUCCCAUAAAUUCGUACGCUAUUCUACUCAACAAAACAAAACAACGUUUGACGUCUUAGUUAACUCCACGGACUAUUUCUGAGCAAAAAUUUUCCCAUAUUUUCCCGAAUUUUCCUACAUUUUCCCAAAAAUAUUUUGUUGAGAAAAUUAAAGGAAAAUAGAAGAAAAUUCAAUAAAAUAUGGAAAAAUCUUUCGCUGGUUAUCUCCACAGGAGAUAAGGUAAUGCGUUGAGUAAAAUGAAUUAACGCAAUGAGAUAGAUUCGUUUGAACGUGUUUUAACUGGAUAAUGUGAUCUCUCAUUUAAAUGGUUCAAUGCAAAAGGAAACAUCUUUUAAGUGAGAAAAUUUCAAGCGGAUCAUUUUGAAAGAAUUGCAACGAAAAUGACGCUUUCUUGUAAUUUUUUUGGUCUUGCCAUAUGAGACCCAUCAUUCUCAAAACUCGUUCAAACGUAUCGUCCAUUGGAAUGAUAAACAAUCAUUUUUUUACAUAACAAGGAGUGACAAAAUUGAAAAGUUCAGUUUCUGUGUGGAUUCUCUGCGUCGUCUCGAAUGAAUUAAAUACACGAACUAGUGACUUUUCAUCGUUUUAUCCCGGGUUAUGUAAAGAAAUUGUACGUGCUGAAUAUGUUGACAGAUGUGUGAAUGUGUCGCUUGAAACAUGGAAAGGUCCGCUUUCCCUUUCCGGCACGUGAAAAAGAAACAAUUAAUUUUGCGGAAUAAGCACGAGCAGUGUAGUAAUAUGAUCAACAAUUAUUUAUACUGUGACUAAAAUAAAAUAUUCAAAUUUCUAGAGACUGCCUUAAUUUAGUUAAAUGCUUAGUUAGUCAAAAUGAAAAUGGAAAAGAAAAUUUUCCGUCAACUUGUAAAAUUAUUAUAAAUUUAAGAAAUUUCCAACGAUUUUGAAUUCAAAAAAAUCGGCUAAAUCUGAAAGAUUGUUUUACAUAUUGUGUGAACUUAAAGCUUUGCCAGCGAUCCUAGCUUUCUAAACUGAAUCGAAGAUGAGAAUUGCGAAAAAGUUUUUUGUUUUUUUGUUUUUAAGACUAAGACAGUGUUACGAUAUGAUAAUCGGAUGAUGACGAAAAGUCUGUUCAGUCAAUCCGUAUCCGUGGUGAUUAAAAUGAAUUCUUUUAUUUGUCAUUACAAUAUGUUAUGCAACCGAAUUAAUUCAAUGUUCAAGACUGUACGAAAUUAAUGAAUUCAAAAUGAAAAUAAAGAGAAAGAAAAAAUAUUUUUUAUAA
Molecule: unclassified non-coding RNA, 3887 nt
Organism: Bradysia coprophila
Lineage: Eukaryota; Metazoa; Arthropoda; Insecta; Diptera; Sciaridae
Source: RefSeq, a predicted model, not a curated record